AACGCGAAGAACCUUACCUACUCUUGACAUCCAUAGGACCUAGUAGAGAUAUUGGGGUGCCUUCGGGAACUAUGAGACAGGUGCUGCAUGGCUGUCGUCAGCUCGUGUCGUGAGAUGUUGGGUUAAGUCCCGUAACGAGCGCAACCCUUAUCCUUAGUUGCCAACAGGUCGAGCUGGGAACUCUAGGGAGACUGCCGGUGAUAAGCCGGAGGAAGGUGGGGACGAGGUCAAGUCAUCAUGGCCCUUACGAGUAGGGCUACACACGUGCUACAAUGGCCGGUACAAAGGGAAGCAAAGCUGUGAAGUGGAGCGAAUCUCAGGAAAGCCGGUCGUAGUCCGGAUUGGAGUCUGCAACUCGACUCCAUGAAGUUGGAAUCGCUAGUAAUCGCGGAUCAGAACGCCGCGGUGAAUACGUUCUCGGGCCUUGUACACACCGACGCGUA
Molecule: ribosomal RNA, 443 nt
Filed under: uncultured bacterium
Lineage: Bacteria
Description: bacterial SSU rRNA
Rfam family: Bacterial small subunit ribosomal RNA
Source: RNAcentral